RNAcentral lists this ribosomal RNA (524 nucleotides) under uncultured bacterium. RNAcentral's name for it is "partial 16S ribosomal RNA". It matches the Rfam family "Bacterial small subunit ribosomal RNA", at positions 28 to 523 of the family's 1533-position model. The record is from RNAcentral.
GAUGAACGCUGGCGGCGUGCCUAAUACAUGCAAGUCGAACGCUUCUUUUUCCACCGGAGCUUGCUCCACCGGAAAAAGAGGAGUGGCGAACGGGUGAGUAACACGUGGGUAACCUGCCCAUCAGAAGGGGAUAACACUUGGAAACAGGUGCUAAUACCGUAUAACAAUCGAAACCGCAUGGUUUUGAUUUGAAAGGCGCUUUCGGGUGUCGCUGAUGGAUGGACCCGCGGUGCAUUAGCUAGUUGGUGAGGUAACGGCUCACCAAGGCCACGAUGUAUAGCCGACCUGAGAGGGUGAUCGGCCACAUUGGGACUGAGACACGGCCCAAACUCCUACGGGAGGCAGCAGUAGGGAAUCUUCGGCAAUGGACGAAAGUCUGACUGAGCAACGCCGCGUGAGUGAAGAAGGUUUUCGGAUCGUAAAACUCUGUUGUUAGAGAAGAACAAGGAUGAGAGUAACUGUUCAUCCCUUGACGGUAUCUAACCAGAAAGCCACGGCUAACUACGUGCCAGCCGCCGCAGUAA